UACUCAGUAAGGCAUUGUUCUUC
Molecule: microRNA, 23 nt
Filed under: Mus musculus (house mouse)
Lineage: Eukaryota; Metazoa; Chordata; Mammalia; Rodentia; Muridae
Description: Mmu-Mir-506-P4_5p (mature (guide))
Source: RNAcentral